CGGAUGGGCUUAACUGUAGAUGACUGCUCAUUUCCUCUCCAUGUUGCUGCUGCAUCAUUAUCGUAAUUCCUAUUCGCUUUCUCCUUAGAUUUGUUGGCUGCGGCCCUCUGGAGCGCCCUCAAUAGAUCGGAACCACUCAGCCGCUGCUCCGCCUCACUGCCUUCGUCUAUGCCGACGGCCACUAACUGACGCUUUGGCUUUGGGGCGGAGGAGAUGCCGCCCAAGGACAGGGGUAGGGUUCGUUUAGGAGGAGACGAAUCGCCGUUCGUUUGGGAGGAGAUGCGUCUGGUGUAGGGUUUUCAAAGUGAGGAGUUUGUUUGGAAAGACGUGGGUGGGAGAGAGUAAAUUCCUUAAUUACACGCGUAAAUUUAGGAGCGACAGUUCAGUGAAUAUUGAAACUGACACAAACACCCCUAAACGUAUUUUUCACAAAUUUUUUAGCUUAUUCAGAAAAAAUAAAAACGGGAUUAAUAAUUAAUUAGAUGUAAUCCUGGCCAUUAAUCUAUUCAGAUUGUAUGGUUAAGAUUAAUUCUUUAAUCUUUAGACAAAGGGGAUUCUUUGUAGAUCCCCACCCUAUAUAGACAUAUAUAAAAGUGAGUUUGCUUUUACUUCGCUUCUCAAUUCACAGAAAAAAUAUAACCAGAUUGACAAACCACAUUAAAUAUUUGAUUUUUAAGAUUCUUGGAUAAAAAGUGCUUUGCUUUUAAUUAGGCUAAGCUACUGGUGUGCUCAUAGUGAGAUUGAGUGACCAAAUAUAUUCAUUCAUCUUUAAAUUCUCUUGUCAAACAGAAACACACAACAGAAUCCAACAACACAAAAGAAACAGACUUCAAAGGUAUCAGGGAUAGAAUAAAUUAUACCUCAUCGUCAGCCUCUUCUUCAUCCUCCCCAUCCUCUUCAACAUAAUAACAAUUUGUAUUUUCUUUACUCAUUCCUUCAUGAUUCAAACACCAGAUUCCAUAUUACAAAUACAAUUCUCAACACGCAAAUACGCAAUGCCACCAUAUAUCAAUUACAGCCAGCCAUCACAGGUUACAUUCUACAUAUGAAUGUGUUGUGUCAUUUGCUAUAUAUUAUCGGGAGCAUCUCUAACUAACAUGUCAGAGCAAGAUAAAAGCUCAAAGAAUCCUCACUUGAAGACAUAUCAGCCAGCAAUUUUAAAUACAUGAAAUGCAUAUUUUUUUCUAUUACAUUACUUCCCAAGCACCCUAUAUCUGGGAGUAAUCAAGGAUAAGAAUAUAAAAUAAAAGGAGGAAGGAAAAACCACAUUAAGAAAAUAAGACACCAAACUCCUCUUGCAUCCAUCUAUCAAAUACAAAUGACAAUUCUUACAUCUUUUCUUCCAAUUUUCUCCAACUUACCUAAACCACAGAAGCCUUGAAUCUUCACCCCCACAAUUUAAAAGAAGGGCCAGGGAGAACAGUUGAUCAGAGCCAUCAUGUUAUUCUGGUGAAAAAUUAAAUAUUGUCUAUAUACAAUAAAAAGUCAUUUAAAUAUCUUAUGCUUUACCCAUUCAGAUUAGAACUACAAAACACAGACAAUAUCUGGGUAAAUUCGCAGAGAAUAAAAAACACAAGAUUCAUUGAAAUAAAUAAAUAGAUGACCACACAUAUUUAUCUUUGAAACUAUACAUUCAAUCAAAAAAGGAUUAGGCAAAAACUAACUUGUAACUGAAAAUUUUGGCGUACAUGACUUUUUCCUCUCGCCGGCGUGCAAACUUGUUUGGCUUAAGGGGAGGGCUGUGACGGGUAUGGGGUAGAUGGUUCAUUUCCUCAUUCAUUGAAUUUAUACAAAAGAUCAAGGUUUUUGAAUAGUUUAGAAAUAUAAAUUGAGAUGAAAUUAGGGAGAAAAUUAACAUGUAGAAAAUCAAGUACCUCUCAAAUUUGAUUAAUCACAAACUGAUUCGUGAAUCGUAGAUGGACACAGCGAGGGAGAUUGUUUCGGUGAUCGACGAAUUUGAAUGCUGAGAUGCGAGGAAAAUCUUUGAGCUUCGUGAGAUUUGCUGAGAUUGAAAUUUGUAUGUAGACUAAUUCAUGANNN
RNAcentral lists this long non-coding RNA (2040 nucleotides) under Salvia miltiorrhiza (redroot sage). RNAcentral's name for it is "long non-coding RNA (SMIL_LNC004980)". Lineage: Eukaryota; Viridiplantae; Streptophyta; Magnoliopsida; Lamiales; Lamiaceae. The record is from RNAcentral.